RNAcentral lists this ribosomal RNA (146 nucleotides) under Cyrtandra kauaiensis. RNAcentral's name for it is "5.8S ribosomal RNA". It matches the Rfam family "5.8S ribosomal RNA". Rfam says of the family: 5.8S ribosomal RNA (5.8S rRNA) is a component of the large subunit of the eukaryotic ribosome. It is transcribed by RNA polymerase I as part of the 45S precursor that also contains 18S and 28S rRNA. Lineage: Eukaryota; Viridiplantae; Streptophyta; Magnoliopsida; Lamiales; Gesneriaceae. The record is from RNAcentral.
AACGACUGUCGGCAACGGAUAUGUCGGCUCUCGCAUCGAUGAAGAACGUAGCGAAAUGCGAUACUUGGUGUGAAUUGCAGAAUCCCGUGAACCAUCGAGUUUUUGAACGCAAGUUGCGCCCGAAGCCAUCAGGUUGAGGGCACGUC